Molecule: small RNA, 93 nt
Filed under: Arabidopsis thaliana (thale cress)
Lineage: Eukaryota; Viridiplantae; Streptophyta; Magnoliopsida; Brassicales; Brassicaceae
Description: ATSL234310
Source: RNAcentral
UUAAAUUGAUUUCAUAAAUCAUAGAGAGAGAGAGAGAGAGAGAGAGAGAGUUUGGAAACAUUCCAAAACCAGAACUCGAUAUUAUUUCACCAA